UGUAGACAUUUGUGCUGGGGCCUCCUGAGCUAAGGUGACCUGUGUCAGCUGAGACCUGAUAGGCAGCCACGUGUCGGGAUGUCUCUCACCUUCCUGCCAGGUCGCUGCCCCAGACUCAUCCUCACCUGCCUGGGGAAGUAGGGGUACCCCUCCCAUCCCUCCUCCCUGCACUGGCUUACAGCUGAUGCCCUGGGUCCUGAGUGUUCGUCUCCACUCUCCCAACAGCUUCACAGUGAGGUGGAGAAGCCCCUGAUGAACUUCCGUGAGAACUUCAAGAAAGACAUGAAGAAGUGCGACCACCACAUUGCCGACCUUCGCAAGCAGCUCGCCAGCCGCUAUGCCUCGGUGGAAAAGGCCCGGAAAGCCCUCACAGAGCGGCAGAGGGACCUGGAGAUGAAGACCCAGCAGCUGGAGAUCAAGCUGAGCAACAAGACAGAGGAGGACAUCAAGAAAGCGCGGAGGAAGUCUACACAGGCUGGAGACGACCUCAUGCGCUGUGUGGAUCUCUACAACCAGGCCCAGUCCAAGUGGUUUGAAGAGAUGGUGACCACCACACUGGAGCUAGAGCGGCUGGAGGUGGAGAGGGUAGAGAUGAUCCGGCAACACCUGUGCCAGUACACGCAGCUGCGGCAUGAAACAGACAUGUUCAACCAAAGUACAGUCGAGCCCGUGGAUCAGCUGCUUCGAAAAGUGGACCCGGCCAAAGACAGGGAGCUGUGGGUCAGAGAGCACAAGACGGGCAACAUCCGCCCUGUGGACAUGGAGAUCUAGAUGGGCCUGUGCAGCUUUGGGGGGUCCUACUGGGGAGGGGGGCUGGGCUCCCACCAUGGG
RNAcentral lists this small RNA (831 nucleotides) under Pongo abelii (Sumatran orangutan). RNAcentral describes it as "retained intron". Lineage: Eukaryota; Metazoa; Chordata; Mammalia; Primates; Hominidae. The record is from RNAcentral.